RNAcentral lists this long non-coding RNA (381 nucleotides) under Homo sapiens (human). RNAcentral's name for it is "HSALNT0341438". Lineage: Eukaryota; Metazoa; Chordata; Mammalia; Primates; Hominidae. The record is from RNAcentral.
AGCAGGUGACCAUUGAGCAGAGAGCAUAAUCAGGUGAAGGAGUGAGCCACAAGAGCUGAGAACCAUGCGAAGACCUGCAGAAAGACCAUCUAAAAACCAAAGGAAGAGACUAAGCAAAUCCAGCCUAGUUUUGAAGACCACACCCUUACCCAGCAGUCAGGGAACCAAGGAGCCACGCUGAGGAUUGGAGAAAAGUCACCAGAAACACACUUUCUUCUAUUUGGGCAUGAAAUGAAGUUUGAUGGAUUCUAACUCUGAAAGGAAGAAUCAGAGGCAAGCAUUAAGAAAAUAAAUUAAUUUGUAAAGAACUUCUGGCUUAUCAAAUAAAAACAUAACAGUUACUUAAAGUAAAGCCCUCCAAAAUGACCAAUUUGACAGUUA